GGGAGUGAGGAUGAGAUUGAGAGAGAGGAUGAGAGGGGAGGAUGAGAAGCAGGAGUCACAAAAGUGAAAACAAUUUCAAAUAUAUUUCAGUUUUUAGUUUUUGUUUUCACUUUUGUUACUCAUCCCUCCCAUCUUCCACUCUCAUGUUCCUUCUCAAUCCCAUCUCCACUCUCA
Molecule: microRNA precursor, 174 nt
Filed under: Prunus dulcis (almond)
Lineage: Eukaryota; Viridiplantae; Streptophyta; Magnoliopsida; Rosales; Rosaceae
Description: sRNA ncRNA
Source: RNAcentral